Molecule: long non-coding RNA, 206 nt
Organism: Gorilla gorilla gorilla (western lowland gorilla)
Lineage: Eukaryota; Metazoa; Chordata; Mammalia; Primates; Hominidae
Source: Ensembl
GGAAAACCUUCCUGAAGAUAGCUAAUCUCGGCCUUCUAAGUUCUUGUUGCUUGCAAUAAUAACAUGGCAGCUCUUGAUACUGGAGAUCUUACAGCUGAUCAUUAUUCUCUUUCUGGGCUUCUGGCUCCUUGUCUCUCACCCUUACCUGUGGGAGUGUAACACCCCUGCUAAGAGCAGCACGCACAUCUCUGAGCUCAUGGACCCAG